Molecule: ribosomal RNA, 301 nt
Filed under: uncultured bacterium
Lineage: Bacteria
Description: partial 16S ribosomal RNA
Rfam family: Bacterial small subunit ribosomal RNA
Source: RNAcentral
CAGUCGCCACGGUAAUACAGAGGGUGCGAGCGUUAAUCGGAUUUACUGGGCGUAAAGCGUGCGUAGGCGGUUUCUUAAGUCUGAUGUGAAAGCCCCCGGCUCAACCGGGGAGGGUCAUUGGAAACUGGGAAACUUGAGUGCAGAAGAGGAGAGUGGAAUUCCACGUGUAGCGGUGAAAUGCGUAGAGAUGUGGAGGAACACCAGUGGCGAAGGCGACUCUCUGGUCUGUAACUGACGCUGAGGAGCGAGAGCGUGGGGAGCGAACAGGAUUAGAUACCCCAGUAGUCCCUGUCUCUUAUAC